Molecule: long non-coding RNA, 882 nt
Filed under: Homo sapiens (human)
Lineage: Eukaryota; Metazoa; Chordata; Mammalia; Primates; Hominidae
Description: HSALNT0400498
Source: RNAcentral
GGUGACGCGUGCGCCGGCCGGCCGCCGAGGGGCUACCGUUCUGCCUCCGACCGGUCGUGUGUGGGUUUACUCGGAGAAAUACUAGGCUUUAGAAUUUCACCAUAUGAAUUUUGGGAGAGAGGAGCACAGUUCAGCCCAUAACUAACACACGACGGAAUGAAGUUGAUAAUAGUGAGACCUUGUUGGUACAAGACUAUGUAACAUAACCUGCGCUUCUCAACAAAGAAUUGCUUUUCUGACUUCUGCACUCAACUACUCAACAUGAAGGCAAUAAGAAUGAAGACCUCUAUGUAUAAUAAUUGACUUCCACUUAAUAAAUACCUGAACAGAUGUUGAGUACAAGCUGAUCCACCUACGUUCAACCUGAGAGAGUCCACAUCCACAGACUGUUUCAUUUCCCUUUUUCAAUUUACAUAGAAGCAUAGAUUCUUGCUGGCAUAUACAAAUGCGCCAUUUAAGGCAAUCAAAAAUGGUUCCACAUCUCAUCUGAUUUCCACAAUUGUUGCUGUAACGAUGGACUACUGAGGAGAGAGACAAUUUCUCUGGCACAUCUUCCCACAUUUUAGCAACAUGUUCAUGGAGAGCCAAUAUUCAGUAAUUACAGCCCAAUUCCUCACAAUUUCACAAUUCGCUAACAAUAUGCAUUUUCACAAUGUAAAGCUGAUUUUCCUUUAACCAAAUCAAACAUGAAAAGAUAGCUGCAUGCAAUGGGCAAUCUAGAUCAUUAGAAGAUUGAUGUAAAAUUAGAGGACACUGAGACUGGAAUAGAUUGCAAACUUCAGGGAGCUCAGAAAACUUGUAAACUCUACAUUUUGAGGAAAUAUGUUGUCGAUGCUUUUGCAACUCUAUGCAGUAACUUAACAAAUAAAGCCUUAAAGUAAC